CCAGAUCCUGGAAAAUCCCCAGACCCAGAGCAGGCCUGCUCGUGCCCAGCCCCAGUCCCUCUUGCCCAGUUCUGUCUGUUUCUGCAUGUGUGACCUCGAGAGUCAGCAGGGCUUCUGGCUGCCUCAGCCCCUCGGCCCCGUGGUCGGAAUGGAGGCGUGUCUGUAAGCUAGGCAUACACUUGCUGUCGAGGUACUGGGUAUGGGCCUAAGCACGUUGCUAGCAGAAAGAUGAAGGUCUUAGAAUCAUUGAUUGGAAUGAUCCAGAAAUUCCCUUAUGAUGACCCUACUUAUGAUAAACUCCAUGAAGACUUAGACAAGAUCAGAGGAAAAUUUAAACAGGUGCGUGCACUGUGUGUUUCCUCCUGCUGGGAGCACCUGAUUGUGCCUUUCCCAGGUGGGGCAGCGCACUCCCGGGGCCGCUGCGGCAAUGGCCUGGGGCUGCGUGCACCACGGAACUGUCCGUAGAGGCGCCUCAUCCUUGAGUCGCAGUGCAGGAAAACUGAAGACAGUCCAGAGAAUAGGAGUUAGAACUCAUUUAUGGGCUGGCCACGUAGACAGGAAAAGCUAUAGCUAGAGAUAGAGUUAUCUUCUCAUUUUUCAGUAAAAAUGCACAAGAUUAAAAAUU
Molecule: small RNA, 625 nt
Filed under: Pan troglodytes (chimpanzee)
Lineage: Eukaryota; Metazoa; Chordata; Mammalia; Primates; Hominidae
Description: processed transcript
Source: RNAcentral